UCAAAUGUAACAACAUACUAUAAGAACCUCCAACAUCAUAGUUGGCAUAGAAAACCAACUCCAGUACCAUAAAGCUUCUCUUCUCUACUUUUAUGUUAAAGGACAACUAUGAAACAAAGCAAGAAUGAAGAAAGACCCAGGUUGUAUAACUUUAUGCAUGUUAUGACAUACAGACAGUGCAGUCAUUUGGGCAAAAUCCUAGACUGGUGAAUAUAAAUUGUUCAGAAAGGGAGAAGACUAAGAUGUUUUAAGAUCCUCUAAGCAUUUAAGAUUCCCCCAAAGAAUCCACUCUCAGAGAAAACAGAAUUAGAAAGUGUACAACAGGGAGAAAUGAAGCAGAAAGGGGAGAGAUGAUUUCCAAAGAUUUCCAAAGGCAAGAUUCUGAGAUCAGAAAUAUCAAAAAACACAAGUAUAUAAAUAAAGAGGAAAAAAAACUAACAACAGAAGGAAAUAUGGCCAUCAAAUUUAGUGUACAAAUUCGGGCAUAUGUGAAUAGACACUGUGAAACCAAGAAAAGUGAUCCAAUAUUUGAUGAGAUAGAAAACCCAAUGGAAUGUGAAGAGAGCAGAAACUACAAUAUACUGUUAACCUGAGUUAUUCAAAAGAAAAAUGAGAAUUAUGAGAGUAAAAUUUAACUCCUAUCUAGAAAAAAUAAUGAAUUUUAAAAAUCCUGGAAUUUGCAAUCAUCACAAAAAGAAACAACAGAGAGAGAAUAAUAGAUUUAGAGUACAAAUAUACAUGAGUAAAGAACAAUCUAGAAAAAAAAGCAAAAAACAAAUCAAUAACAAUAAAGAAAAUGUUUACUGUGCAACCAAAACAUAUGGAUCUUGAAAUCAGGAUGGGAAGAGACAACCUAAGAAUCAAAAAUUUCCUAGAAGAACACAACAGAACAAAAAAUUCUUAACAGCACAAUGCAGGAAUAAAGAAAACUGCCCAGAACUUCUGAACAUAGUAAAUAAAAUAUCAAUUGAAAUAAUUUACAAAUCACCCAGGGAUGAUGGUGGCAGGGAACAAUACUAUAAAUUCCAAGACACAUGGCAGUCAAAUUUAACAAUUCAGUUCAGAAACAUAUUUUUCAUAUGAUCAAAAUAAAACCUGCCAAUACAAAAGAAAGAAAAUUCAAAUAACACAAGACUAUUUUUCACUCACCAGAAAAACGUAGGAGGGCAUAGAAUAAUGUGUUCCAAAGAGCAAUGUAUCUCAAGAUGCAGCCCAGAAUGACUUACCCUGCAAAUGUGAGUUUAAUCAUACAUGAAAAAAGAUAGAUGUUCAAAAACAAAGAGACAUUUAAAACAUUUUUAGAAAGAAAUCCUAAAGUGAAGAAAUUUGCUUCUGAAAUAUCCCAAAUAACAAAAAUACAUGAGGAGUGAAUAAAUGAAGCAAAGACAAUAAUAGCAACAGAAUGAUGAAAAGAGACCAAUAAGAAUUUUUUUUCCCCACACAAGGUGACAAAGGUGAAGACAAAAGUCUGGUUAAGAUUAUAGGAAAGAAGAACAGAGGGCAUGAUGGACAGAACCUGGUGAUACUCCAUCUAUAGAUGAAUCAAUACUUGGGUGCUUUUUUUUUGGGGGGGGGGGAAGCUAGUACAUCAUAACAUGAAGGGUACAUGAAAGAGGAGGAAGGAAGCAAACAGAUAAAGAAGAAUGUGUGAUGUGCUAAGACCAAAUCAAUUUUCUCAAAUGAGGGAAAAGUGACCCCUGUUAUCUCAGAAAAAGAAGAAUAUAUAGGACAGUGGAUGAGGAGAAGGGGGAAGAAUUGAAAAGGGAGAGAGAAAAGAAGGAAGCUUUACUUUGAUAAUAGAAUGGUGUGUUCCA
Molecule: long non-coding RNA, 1814 nt
Organism: Sarcophilus harrisii (Tasmanian devil)
Lineage: Eukaryota; Metazoa; Chordata; Mammalia; Dasyuromorphia; Dasyuridae
Exons: 2
Source: RefSeq, a predicted model, not a curated record